UCACUCUCGUACAUCGUAUGUAAAAUUAUUACAAUAAGUAAAUAAAUUAAAUAAAUUCAUAAAACAUAAAGUUACACUUUUAAAAGCUCAUUUAACACUGUUUAACAUUUAAUUUAAAAGAAUUUACAAUCAAAUCUUCCGCCGAAAUAACUCCAGUAAAAAUAGAUCACCGUGAAGCAUCACGGGAAAAUACACAAGUAAACAAAGUAUGGCGGCGGCAGAAGUUUCAGUGAAACGUGUGUACUCGAAGACCAUAAAACAUCGAUCACACAAGAAAUAAGGAUUACAGAAAAAGACUUUAAGGGGAUGGACACUUGGCAAGCAAAAAUAUCAAAGAAUCACAUCCUAUGCUGUCUCCUGCUGCGGAACGGAACAUCUGGUUGCUGGAGAGUAUUUGACCACUUCCUCUUUUGUAGGUUUACUUCCUGCCAGUUUCCACUUAAGCACUGGACCAAUACCAUUAUCUUCCAUCUGGAGACAUUGUAGACUUGAUGAGUUGUACUUUGACAUCCAUUGUGUCCCUUCAGUAUCUACAGAGGAACACGAAACUCGUGAGGUAGGUCUGGAUUCUUGAAGACCACGACGCUUCCGUCGACUUCUACGUCCUGCCAUUGUGAUUUAUUUUUAUUUGAUUUGCUUAAUAAAAUUUUUGUUUCUCAAACACAGACAAAGCGUUGUUAUGAUUCGAUCACAGGACCCGUAAAUUUAAACGGAUC
Long non-coding RNA from Saccostrea cuccullata (small rock oyster), 716 nucleotides. RefSeq lists it as uncharacterized. Lineage: Eukaryota; Metazoa; Mollusca; Bivalvia; Ostreida; Ostreidae. The record is from RefSeq and is a predicted model, not a curated record. The transcript is spliced from 4 exons.